UCAAUCAAUACCAAAAUAAGAUUAAGAGAUAUAAAAUAUGAACCUGAAACAACAAGCCUUUUGAUUAACUUCGAAAGGUGAAUACAAGUGGAGUCCGACAACGAGAAUUGAAGCAAGCAGCAACUGGAACUCGAACACAAAGUGGACUGAAUUGGCUCGGCAAGAACGGAACCGCGAAUGAACCUCGAUUUGCUAAUUGAAGCAAGCAGCAACUGGAAUUCGAACACAAAGUGGACAGAAUUUGCUUGGAAAGAACGGAACCGCAAAUGAACCUCGAUUUGCAAGCAACGAGCAGCUCGAUCAACC
RNAcentral lists this long non-coding RNA (306 nucleotides) under Nicotiana benthamiana. RNAcentral describes it as "long non-coding RNA (NBEN_LNC033816)". Lineage: Eukaryota; Viridiplantae; Streptophyta; Magnoliopsida; Solanales; Solanaceae. The record is from RNAcentral.